Long non-coding RNA from Arabidopsis thaliana (thale cress), 336 nucleotides. RefSeq annotates it as other RNA. NCBI's taxonomy places the organism in Eukaryota, Viridiplantae, Streptophyta, Magnoliopsida, Brassicales, Brassicaceae. The record is from RefSeq. The transcript has a single exon.
GGAAAAUGAUCUGAUCCGUCACAUUCAUAUCCUUUAAAAGUGGUAGACGGAGUGAUGAUAAUGGAGUCAUGGAGGGAGAAUGUUACGGAGCAGAGAAAUCUAAAUUUGAAGGUGCUAGACAGGCAAUAAUGAUUUGAGUAUAGGGAUAUGCGCAGAAUGCUUGUAAGAUGUAUGUGUAGGGUGUGAUAUGCUUGUAUAGAUGCAAUAAAUGUGUAAGAUGUGAAUAGUGUACAUGAAUGUGUAGGAAGUGGAUGGUGUAGAUGAAUGUGUAAGAAGUGAAUAGUGUACAUGAAUGUGUAGGAAGUGGAUGGUGUAGAUGAAUGUGUAAGAUGUGGC